RNAcentral lists this long non-coding RNA (900 nucleotides) under Heterocephalus glaber (naked mole-rat). RNAcentral describes it as "lncRNA (ENSHGLG00000033299.1)". The record is from RNAcentral. Lineage: Eukaryota; Metazoa; Chordata; Mammalia; Rodentia; Bathyergidae.
CCUGCUCAGAGCUGGGCCCCAAAGAAGCCACCCAAUCUGUACAGCCUGUGUUCCUCCCAGGUCUUGCCCAGGUCCUGUGACCACACUUCGGGGCUGCUGCUGUACAGUGGGAUGACUGGUGCCCACCUGGUUUGGUAGAGCAGAAAGCAUCCAGCUCCCCAUGUGCUCAUUCAGGACUGCUGUAUUACAUCACUGCAUCCUCCUCACUGAUCUCCAAGGCAGCGGGCAGGAGCUGCAGAAGAGGCCACUGUCCCUGUCUCAAAGGCUCAGACCAUACAUCUGUCAUCCUCGAGGUCCUUCGGGUACUGUGAAUCAAGACCCAGACCUUGACUUGUGAUAGAACCGUGACAAUCAGCACUGAACCAGUGUUUCCCAGAGUGUGAUUCCUGUACCACUCUGCUGGUAACCAGAUGACUGGGGAGGAGGAGCUCAGCCAUAGGCAUUAAAUAACCAGUUGCAUAGCAGAAAGAGAGUCCCCUCUCCAUUCUUUAUUGUAUCAUCAUCAUCAUCAUCAUCAUCAUCAUCAUCAUCAUCACCACCACAUUAACUCCCACUAUAUGAAAAGGUCAUUUUUGUAAAGACAGACAAAUCUCAGCAAUCUCAUAACUUGACCUAAAGGGAUAUCUUAGACAUACUAGAAGUUCCACAGAAGAAGAAAUGAAUAGGUACAAAACAGUGCGGUUCUGCUCAAAUCCCCUGUGACUCCUUCCCCAGUAUGCUUCACACUAGAAUGUUCUCCUGGGCAUAGCCUGUUGCUUUGAUUUUGGCUGCUAUUGUGAGAGUCCCCUUAUUUCAUUUUCAACAGUUUGUCUGUUAUGUGCCUUGGUGAGAUUUUCUUGAAUUUACCCUGCUUACGUUUGCUGAGCUUCUCCAAUCUGUAUUCCUUUCAACAAAUUUGAG